CCUGCACCAGUGGGGUCCCUCAGCCUGGCCUACGCCCUCUUGCAAUCUGGGACCCCUCGGGGGAUGUUGGAGAGCGGUUUUGGCCCAAUCCUGCAGGCCAGGCUGAGGGACCCCACUGGUGCACA
Molecule: microRNA precursor, 125 nt
Filed under: Myotis lucifugus (little brown bat)
Lineage: Eukaryota; Metazoa; Chordata; Mammalia; Chiroptera; Vespertilionidae
Description: mir-9193 microRNA precursor family
Rfam family: mir-9193 microRNA precursor family
Source: Rfam by way of RNAcentral